GCCUCGUUAUAUCAGUCGGUAGAUUAAAUGACUCUUAAUGUGGACUUUGUCCGGUUGAUCAUUCGGUCGUGGGUUCGAGCCCCACACGAGGCU
The sequence is a transfer RNA, 93 nucleotides long. It matches the Rfam family "tRNA". From Rfam's summary of the family: Transfer RNA (tRNA) molecules are approximately 80 nucleotides in length. Their secondary structure includes four short double-helical elements and three loops (D, anti-codon, and T loops). The record is from Rfam.